RNAcentral lists this ribosomal RNA (403 nucleotides) under uncultured beta proteobacterium. Its description in RNAcentral is "bacterial SSU rRNA". It matches the Rfam family "Bacterial small subunit ribosomal RNA", at positions 226 to 621 of the family's 1533-position model. Lineage: Bacteria; Pseudomonadati; Pseudomonadota; Betaproteobacteria. The record is from RNAcentral.
GCGGCUGAUGUCUGAUUAGCUAGUUGGUGGGGUAAAGGCUUACCAAGGCAACGAUCAGUAGCUGGUCUGAGAGGACGACCAGCCACACUGGGACUGAGACACGGCCCAGACUCCUACGGGAGGCAGCAGUGGGGAAUUUUGGACAAUGGGCGAAAGCCUGAUCCAGCCAUGCCGCGUGAGUGAAGAAGGCCUUCNGGUUGUAAAGCUCUUUUAGUCGGAAAGAAAGAGUCAUANUAAAUAGCUAUGAUUUAUGACGGUACCGACAGAAAAAGCACCGGCUAACUACGUGCCAGCAGCCGCGGUAAUACGUAGGGUGCGAGCGUUAAUCGGAAUUACUGGGCGUAAAGGGUGCGCAGGCGGUCUUGUAAGUCAGAUGUGAAAGCCCCGGGCUUAACCUGGGAAU